AACGAACGCUGGCGGCAUGCCUAACACAUGCAAGUCGAACGAGACCUUCGGGUCUUGUGGCGCACGGGGUCGUAACGCGUGGGAACCUGCCCUUAGGUUCGGAAUAACUCCCCGAAAGGGGUGCUAAUACCGGAUAAUGUCUUCUGACCAAAGAUUUAUCGCCUUUGGAUGGGCCCGCGUUGGAUUAGCUAGUUGGUAGGGUAAAAGCUGACCAAGGCGACGAUCCAUAGCUGGUCUGAGAGGAGGGUCAGCCACACUGGGACUGAGACACGGCCCAGACUCCUACGGGAGGCAGCAGUGGGGAAUAGUGGACCAUGGGCGGAAGCCUGAUCCAGCACUGCCGCGUGAGUGAUGAAGGCCUUAGGGUUGUAAAGCUCUUUUACCCGGGAUGAUAAUGACAGUACCGGGAGAAUAAGCUCCGGCUAACUCCGUG
This 433-nucleotide ribosomal RNA is filed under the name uncultured bacterium. RNAcentral describes it as "partial 16S ribosomal RNA". It matches the Rfam family "Bacterial small subunit ribosomal RNA", at positions 29 to 507 of the family's 1533-position model. The record is from RNAcentral.